RNAcentral lists this ribosomal RNA (255 nucleotides) under uncultured bacterium. RNAcentral's name for it is "partial 16S ribosomal RNA". It matches the Rfam family "Bacterial small subunit ribosomal RNA", at positions 524 to 777 of the family's 1533-position model. The record is from RNAcentral.
UACGUAGGGUGCGAGCGUUGUCCGGAAUCAUUGGGCGUAAAGGGCGCGUAGGUGGCUUCUCAAGCGUGCGGUGAAAGCCUGGGGCUCAACCCCGGGUCGGCCGUGCGAACUGGGCUCACUGGAGCAUAGUAGAGGCAGGUGGAAUUCCGGGUGUAGCGGUGGAAUGCGUAGAGAUCCGGAAGAACACCGGUGGCGAAGGCGGCCUGCUGGGCUAUGGCUGACACUGAGGCGCGACAGCGUGGGGAGCAAACAGGG